This is a non-coding RNA of Vicia faba (fava bean), 192 nucleotides long. Lineage: Eukaryota; Viridiplantae; Streptophyta; Magnoliopsida; Fabales; Fabaceae. The record is from the annotation of a GenBank genome assembly.
AUGCGAACUGAACCACCUUGUGCUUGCUAUGGCUUCACGAGGUUCGGAUCAAACAUAUAUGUGAAAGGCGCGGAAGAUUUCAAGACUUACCUACUAGAGAGUUCCGGUAACUCUUCAACUGUAACAUCGAAUGAUGAAUUCAAAGGUAAAUUCUCCUUUAAUCCUUCUACUUUCAAUUUCUGUUUUUUAUGA